Paramuricea clavata is the source of this 1253-nucleotide non-coding RNA. The record is from the annotation of a GenBank genome assembly. NCBI's taxonomy places the organism in Eukaryota, Metazoa, Cnidaria, Anthozoa, Malacalcyonacea, Plexauridae.
UAAUUGUAUAUUUUUACGUUCAUAUAUAUCCUUAUCCGCUAUAACACUGCCGGAUUAAUUCGCGAUGUUGUUGCCGCCAUAUUGUUACCGCUAAAGCGCACUGAAUGUUUAGGGCCGGAAGUCCGCAUUUCCGAAUUUCCGCAGGGCCCUUCCCCCCCAAUUUACCACAAACCUUACGUCGUCUUCUUUCUUCAGUAGUCAGCAAUCAAUGCUCCGCCGCAUGAUUGCCCUACAACUCCAUAUGCAAGGUAUAAUAUCCAUUUAAUAUAGGUAAUAUCCAUUGAUGGUAUUGCACAUUUGCCCAAGAUAUCCACUGCGGUAUUGCACAUUUGCCCAAGAUAUCCACUAUGUAAUUGCACAUUUGCCCAAGAUAUCCACCAUGGUAUUGCACAUUUGCCCAAGAUAUCCACCAUAAUAAUAAUGCACAUUUGCCCAAGAUAUCCACCAUAAUAAUAAUGCACAUUUGCCCAAGAUAUCCACUAUGGUAUUGCACAUUUGCCCAAGAUAUCCACCAUAAUGCACAUAUGCCCAAGAUAUCCACCAUGCAUGUUGUGGUAAGGUGGGGAAAUUUUGUUGUAAGUCCUGAAAAAGCUUUGGGAGAGAUCCUAGGGGCCUAUCCUAUGGCAUCUUAACAAUGACCUGCACAGUUAAUUUUUUCAGCUAAAACAUAUAGUGAUAGCAAGCUGCCUUUAUAGAAACAGCACUGAAAAACCCAUAUAUGCCACCCAUAUAGAAAUGACGUCCUAAUAAUCUGCACAGUUUAUUUUUUUAGCUAAAACAUAUAGUAAUAGCAAGCUGCUCUUUAUAGAAACAGCACUGAAAAACAUUGAAAUAUAGUACCUAGAUGUCAACCAUAUAGAAAUGACAUCUUAAUAACCUGCACAGUUUAUUUUUUAGCUAAAACAUAUAGUAAUAGCAGGCUGCUUUUUAUAGAAACAGUACUGAAUAACAUUGAAAUUUAGUACCUAAGAUGUCAACCAUAUAGAAAUGACAUCUUAAUAACCUGCAGUUUAUUUUUUAGCUAAAACAUAUAGUAAUAGCAGGCUGCCCAUAUAGAAACAACACUGAAAAACAUUGAAAUAUAGUACCUAAGAUGUCAACCAUAUAGAAAUGACAUCUUAAUAACUUGCAGUUUAUUUUUUAGCUAAAACAUAUAGUAAUAGCAGGCUGCCCAUAUAGAAACAACACUGAAAAACAUUGAAAUAUAGUACCUAAGAUGUCAACCAUAUAGAAAUGACAUCUUAAUAACCAGC